UACGUAGGGUGCGAGCGUUGUCCGGAAUUACUGGGCGUAAAGAGCUCGUAGGUGGUUUGUCGCGUUGUUCGUGAAAACUCACAGCUCAACUGUGGGCGUGCGGGCGAUACGGGCAGACUAGAGUACUGCAGGGGAGACUGGAAUUCCUGGUGUAGCGGUGGAAUACGCAGAUAUCAGGAGGAACACCGGUGGCGAAGGCGGGUCUCUGGGCAGUAACUGACGCUGAGGAGCGAAAGCGUGGGGAGCGAACAGG
RNAcentral lists this ribosomal RNA (253 nucleotides) under uncultured bacterium. Its description in RNAcentral is "partial 16S ribosomal RNA". It matches the Rfam family "Bacterial small subunit ribosomal RNA", at positions 524 to 776 of the family's 1533-position model. The record is from RNAcentral.